Molecule: long non-coding RNA, 1552 nt
Filed under: Ursus maritimus (polar bear)
Lineage: Eukaryota; Metazoa; Chordata; Mammalia; Carnivora; Ursidae
Description: lncRNA (ENSUMAG00000010399.1)
Source: RNAcentral
AUCACAUAGCCCCCUCUAGAAUGUCAUCCUGGUUAAUUUGUGUACAACUACUGAUAUGUCUAUUAUUAAAGACAACCGUAAGAGUUUGGUAGAUAGAAAGGUUGUUCUCUCAUUUUGUGUAUUACCUUCCAAUGUAUGUGUGUUAUAAAAUAUAGAUUGUUUGCAUUUUUUUUCUGUGUGUGUGAAACAGAAGAUUACAUGAAGGGUGAUUGAGAGGUGGUGCCUAAGGGCCUGCUCCAUGCAGGUGGGAUCCUAAAAUGUUAAUGCAGGAAGUGGCCUCAUUUUAUGGAGAAGAAACUUGGUUCCAGAGGGGUUGUGAUGUCCCAGAAUUAUACUAUAAAUUAAUAACAAAUUAGGAGUAGGGUGACCUUGGGCAAUUCCCAAGCAUUGUCUAAGUCAUGAUGUUAAAUGCCUGAGCCCUCCAACAGUGAUUUUAAUAAGGCUUAUAUUGCCUUUUGUUGCCAAAUGGAUUUGAUUCAUAAUUCUCACACCAGCCCUGAAAGGAUAUGUCUUCAUGCCUCAGCACAUCAUGGCGAUACUGCACUACUUUGAGAUUGUACAAUGACCAGCAUGUGACCGGACUCGAGCGGCUCCUUGGGGAAGAAGCGUCCUCUGAAGUUGGGGUGAAACCUCAUCAGAUGUCAUAAGAAACUCUACUAGAUGUCACCAUAACCAACCCUACGGAUAUAAAGACUAAAAUUCAUGAGUAGAACAGGAAAAUAAUCCUGACUCAUGUGUUGUGUUCUUUAUUUUUAAUUUUAAAAGAGGCUCUUGUAUAGUAGUUUUUGUCUAUUUUAACAUUGUAGUCAUUUGUACUUUGAUAUCAGUAUUUUCUUAACCUUUGUGACCGUUUCAAUAUUACCCUGUGAAAGCUUUUCUUAAUGUAACUUUGAGUACAUUUUAAUUGCCUUCUAUUUCUAAAACCCAAAGUCAUUAGUUGGGCUCUGCUGUUCUUGCUAUUGUACGGCACAUCCAUCUGCCUGGGUAUAUUUCUACUCUUGACCAAAGUUUUGUAAGAAACAAUACAAGAUUUGGGGCAGGGGGAUGGGGAGGGAGGAUAUUUUAUUGAGAACUAUUUACUAAAGACUUAUCUGUAAGUUUGAACUCAGGAGUACAGUUUUAGCUAUCUAGACUCUACUCUUAACAGCUUUUGCUUUAAAACUAUUAAAGUAUUUCUUAACAAUGAAAAAGAAAGAUCUUGCUAAAGUUAAAAUAAGGAACAUUUCACCUUUUAAAUAUUUAAUUCUUAUGUGGACUCAUUUCCAGAAAACUUUGGUGAUGAUUCUUAUGACAAUAGGUUAAAUAGCAUUGUUAUGUAAUGCUUAUAUCCAUAGAGUUUUUAGUAGAAAGUAAAUCAGUUUCCUUUGAGGGUUAUUAUUAGCAAUGUACUUCCUUAAAUUUAGUUUCCUGAUUGUAACGGGUGCUGCAAAUGCAUUUGCACAUUGCAAUAAGAUGAGAUGAAUUGUUAAAAACUAUAGCAAAAAGAAAUGUAAACUUGGUUAAAAUCCUUUCACUCUUUGUAUUUUUUUUUAAAGAUUUUUAUUCCUUAAAU